This is a long non-coding RNA of Scylla paramamosain (green mud crab), 755 nucleotides long. RefSeq lists it as uncharacterized. The record is from RefSeq and is a predicted model, not a curated record. Lineage: Eukaryota; Metazoa; Arthropoda; Malacostraca; Decapoda; Portunidae. The transcript has 2 exons.
AUUCUAUAAUGUUAUUCUAUCCUGAUAUUCUAUCACUUCUAUGAAACAAGUUAACUAAGACAUACGUAAACUAAUUCAUCCCUCAGACAAGCUCACGUCGACGGCCGGCGGUACUUGGAACAGAAGAUUGCAGAGCAUUUCACGCAGAGCGACGGGAGCACGCAAUUGUAUGUUGGUCGCGAAGGACUUCUACCAGGGCUUAAUGCUUGGCCCAUUCCACAUAAUGCACCAUACAAGCAGGCAUUUGAUCGUGUGUUUUGGGCUGUGCAAGAGGCAGGACUUUACAAGAAGUGGAUGGAUGACAUGCUAUCACUAGCCCGUCGGGAAGGCAGGCAAAAGCGACUUCAACUAUUACUGCAGGAAGGAAAACCUACAUCAUAUGUACUGGUGACAGGAAAACGACGCCCUUUAACUGUUAAGCACCUCCAAGGUCCCAUGUUCCUUAUUAUCAUUGGAUGGAUCUUUUCUUUUGUAACUUUUGCUAUAGAAUAUUUGCCCAAAGCUAUUCCUGAAGGAUGCACAUGAAUAUGGAUUGUACCCAGCUGUAAAGUGUGAACAGCUGAAAAGACCGCUUUUUUACAUAUUUAAUUAGAUAACAUGUUUCGGAGCAUCUUGUCUUAUUAAGCACCCCACAGUUUUCUUUGUUUAGGCUCUAUAGGUGUAUGUUUCUCUCUCUCUCUCUCUCUCUCUCUCUCUCUCUCUCUCUCUCUCUCUCUCUCUCUCUCUCUCUCUCUCUCUCUCUCUCUCUCUCUCUC